UACGUAGGCGGCAAGCGUUGUCCGGAUUUACUGGGCGUAAAGAGCGCGCAGGCGGUCGGAUAAGUCGAAUGUGAAAGCCCCCGGCUCAACUGGGGAGGGUCAUUCGAUACUGUUCGACUCGAAGGCAGGAGAGGGAAGUGGAAUUCCCGGUGUAGUGGUGAAAUGCGUAGAUAUCGGGAGGAACACCAGUGGCGAAGGCGACUACCUGGCCUGUUCUUGACGCUGAGGCGCGAAAGCUAGGGGAGCAAACGGG
This 253-nucleotide ribosomal RNA is filed under the name uncultured bacterium. Its description in RNAcentral is "partial 16S ribosomal RNA". It matches the Rfam family "Bacterial small subunit ribosomal RNA", at positions 524 to 776 of the family's 1533-position model. The record is from RNAcentral.